GUGAGGAGAUAAAAAAUAACAGUAAAUAUACUUAACAUAUAGAAAGAGAUUUGCAUUUAAUGAAGUCCAGUAACUCAAGACAUGGCUAGGCUUUUUUCGAUGUCGGGCUGAGGUGUACACCUACGUCUGUGAGACACGUCCUGAGUUAUUUGUCGGCGCACCCAUUCUCUCUUACCGCAUAUCUUAGCUGCUAGGUGUGG
RNAcentral lists this long non-coding RNA (200 nucleotides) under Elaeis guineensis (African oil palm). RNAcentral describes it as "long non-coding RNA (EGUI_LNC019628)". Lineage: Eukaryota; Viridiplantae; Streptophyta; Magnoliopsida; Arecales; Arecaceae. The record is from RNAcentral.